CAGCAGCCACGGUAAGACAGAGGAUGCAAGCGUUAUCCGGAAUGAUUGGGCGUAAAGCGUCUGUAGGUGGCUUUUCAAGUCCGCCGUCAAAUCCCAGGGCUCAACCCUGGACAGGCGGUGGAAACUACCAAGCUGGAGUACGGUAGGGGCAGAGGGAAUUUCCGGUGGAGCGGUGAAAUGCGUCGAGAUCGGAAAGAACACCAACGUCGAAAGCACUCUGCUGGGCCGACGCUGACACUGAGAGACGAAAGCUAGGGGAGCAAAUGGGAUUAGAUACCCCAGUAGUCCCUGUCUCUUAUAC
RNAcentral lists this ribosomal RNA (301 nucleotides) under uncultured bacterium. Its description in RNAcentral is "partial 16S ribosomal RNA". It matches the Rfam family "Bacterial small subunit ribosomal RNA", at positions 509 to 807 of the family's 1533-position model. The record is from RNAcentral.